Molecule: ribosomal RNA, 268 nt
Filed under: uncultured bacterium
Lineage: Bacteria
Description: partial 16S ribosomal RNA
Rfam family: Bacterial small subunit ribosomal RNA
Source: RNAcentral
CGAGCGUUAAUCGGAAUUACUGGGCGUAAAGCGCAUGCAGGCGGCCUGUUAAGUCAGAUGUGAAAGACCCGGGGCGUUAACCUCCGGAAUUGCAUUUGAAACUAGGCAGGCUAGAGUCUUGUAGAGGGGGGUAGGAAUUUCAGGUGUAGCGGUGAAAUGCGUAGAGAUCUGAAGGAAUACCAGUGGCGAAGGCGGCCCCCCUCGGACAAAGACUGACGCUCAGAUGCGAAAGCGUGGGGGAGCAAACAGGAUUAGAUACCCCUGGUAG